CCUACGGGGGGCUGCAGUGAGGAAUAUUGCGCAAUGGAGGCAACUCUGACGCAGCCAUGCCGCGUGCAGGAAGAAGGCGCUACGCGUUGUAAACUGCUUUUAUCAGGGAAGAAACCCCAGGACGUGUCCUGGGUUGACGGUACCUGAGGAAUAAGCACCGGCUAACUUCGUGCCAGCAGCCGCGGUAAUACGAAGGGUGCAAGCGUUAUCCGGAUUCAUUGGGUUUAAAGGGUGCGUAGGCGGAACAUUAAGUCAGUGGUGAAAUCCUGCAGCUCAACUGUAGACUUGCCAUUGAUACUGAUAUUCUUGAGUGCGCUUGAAGUAGGCGGAAUAUGUCGUGUAGCGGUGAAAUGCUUAGAUAUGACAUAGAACACCAAUUGCGAAGGCAGCUUACUAAGGCGAUACUGACGCUGAGGCACGAAAGCGUGGGGAGCGAACAGGAUUAGAUACCCUAGUAGUC
Molecule: ribosomal RNA, 460 nt
Filed under: uncultured Bacteroidota bacterium
Lineage: Bacteria; Pseudomonadati; Bacteroidota
Description: bacterial SSU rRNA
Rfam family: Bacterial small subunit ribosomal RNA
Source: RNAcentral